GUGAAAAUGACCUUUGUGUGAGCAUGUUGAGAAGACUGGAUUAAUCUAAUAGGGCUAAUGAGGAUUAUUGAUUUAUAUAUUUAGUUCCUUGAUGCGUAGUUUCUCAUGUUACAUGGUUAUGAUGCUGUGUAUCUUGGGUUUUGAUAUUUAUUUCGAUCUUUUUUAUGAUACCCAUGUCUGUUUUCCCCCUUUCAUUAGAGCAAGCUGCAAGAUUUGUGUGCAUGUGGAUGGAGUGAUGUAGCUGUAUUUUUCUGUUACAUCCCUGAUUGCAGCUAAGCCUUAAAUGUACAUUCAAUUCCUGCAUUGUUGGAGAUUUGAUAAUGCAUUGUAGAUAAGUUUUAAGUAUGGUUAUAUAUGAAGUGACUAAUGGUG
This 372-nucleotide unclassified non-coding RNA is filed under the name Hevea brasiliensis (rubber tree). Lineage: Eukaryota; Viridiplantae; Streptophyta; Magnoliopsida; Malpighiales; Euphorbiaceae. The record is from RNAcentral.